AGAGUUUGAUCCUGGCUCAGAAUGAACGUUGGCGGUAUGGAUUAGGCAUGCAAGUCGAGCGAGAAGUUUUCCUGCUUGCAGGAAGGCGGACAGCGGCGCAAGGGAGAGUGACGCGUGGAUUAUUUACCCCCUGGUUCGGGAUAGCUGCGGGAAACUGCGGGUAAUACCGAAUAAAAUCUCCGGAUCAAAGGUGUGAUUCCGCCGGGGGAUGAGUCCGCGUCCUAUUAGCUUGUUGGUGGGGUAAUGGCCUACCAAGGCAAUGAUGGGUACCGGGCGUGAGAGCGUGGCCCGGCUCACUGGGACUGAGACACUGCCCAGACACCUACGGGUGGCUGCAGUCGAGAAUCUUCCGCAAUGGGCGAAAGCCUGACGGAGCAAUACCGCGUGCGGGAUGAAGGCCUUCGGGUUGUAAACCGCUGUCGAAGAGGAUGAAGUGCUAGAGGGUUAUCCCUCUAGUUUGACAUAUUCUUGGAGGAAGGACGGGCUAAGUUCGUGCCAGCAGCCGCGGUAAGACGAACCGUCCAAACGUUAUUCGGAAUUACUGGGCUUAAAGGGUGCGUAGGCGGCACGGCAAGUCAGAUGUGAAAUCCCUCGGCUCAACCGAGGAAUUGCGUUUGAAACUGCCGAGCUCGAGGGAGACAGAGGUGAGCGGAACUGAUGGUGGAGCGGUGAAAUGCGUUGAGAUCAUCAGGAACACCGGUGGCGAAGGCGGCUCACUGGGUCUCUUCUGACGCUGAGGCACGAAAGCUAGGGGAGCGAACGGGAUUAGAUACCCCGGUAGUCCUAGCUGUAAACGAUGAGCACUUGGUUGAAGACCCUCCCAUAGGUUUUCGGUCGAAGCGAAAGUGUUAAGUGCUCCGCCUGGGGAGUAUGUCCGCAAGGAUGAAACUCAAAGGAAUUGACGGGGGCUCACACAAGCGGUGGAGGAUGUGGCUUAAUUCGAGGCUACGCGAAGAACCUUAUCCUGGUCUUGACAUGUAUGGAUUAGCUCUGUGAAAGCAGAGUGACGCCUUCGGGUGGAACAUACACAGGUGCUGCAUGGCUGUCGUCAGCUCGUGUCGUGAGAUGUCGGGUUAAGUCCCUUAACGAGCGAAACCCUUAUCAUUAGUUGCCAGCGGAUCAUGCCGGGGACUCUAGUGAGACUGCCGGUGUUAAACCGGAGGAAGGUGGGGAUGACGUCAAGUCCUCAUGGCCUUUAUGACCAGGGCUGCACACGUCCUACAAUGGCACGUACAGAGGGACGCAAACUCGCGAGAGUAAGCAAAUCCCAAAAAACGUGCCUCAGUUCGGAUUGCAGGCUGAAACUCGCCUGCAUGAAGCCGGAAUCGCUAGUAAUCGCGGAUCAGCAUGCCGCGGUGAAUGUGUUCCUGAGCCUUGUACACACCGCCCGUCAAGCCACGAAAGUGGGGGGCGUCCGAAGUCGCCAAGCUAACCCGCAAGGGAGGCAGGCGCCGAAGAUGAACUCCGCGAUUGGGACUAAGUCGUAACAAGGUAGCC
RNAcentral lists this ribosomal RNA (1497 nucleotides) under uncultured bacterium. RNAcentral's name for it is "bacterial SSU rRNA". It matches the Rfam family "Bacterial small subunit ribosomal RNA". The record is from RNAcentral.